Molecule: long non-coding RNA, 445 nt
Filed under: Mytilus galloprovincialis (Mediterranean mussel)
Lineage: Eukaryota; Metazoa; Mollusca; Bivalvia; Mytilida; Mytilidae
Source: RNAcentral
CCGCCGCCGCCAAGGACGGAAUGUAAAGAUCGCUAUGUCUCGCGUUUGUGACAAAAGUCGCAGGCUCGACAAAAACCACACCAUUAAAAAUUGUUUGGUGAUGAGAUGUAAACAAUAUAUUCAGGUUAAUAUAAUGGGUACCCAGGUUAGGGCAGGAUGGUGCCUUCAAAUUAGUUUAGCCCCGCCACAUUCGGUAUGUGCCUGUCCCAAGUCAGGAGCAUGUAAUUCAGUGUAAUGGUUGUUGUUUGUUGCUGUAUCAUAUUUGUUUUUCUUUCAUUAUUUUGUACAUAAAUCAGGCCGUUAGUUUUCUCGUUUGAAUUGUUUGUGUGGAUAUGAAUUAUUAAAGAGUCAAAGCAGGGACUUUCUAUACUAACUAGUAUAGACUGUCCCUGGUCAGAGUCAAUCUCUCUCACCAACAAAAAAGCAAGCCUAAUGUCAAUUACUU